Molecule: ribosomal RNA, 393 nt
Filed under: uncultured bacterium
Lineage: Bacteria
Description: bacterial SSU rRNA
Rfam family: Bacterial small subunit ribosomal RNA
Source: RNAcentral
GUGUCAGCAGCCGCGGUAAUACGGAGGGUGCGAGCGUUAUCCGGAAUCACUGGGUUUAAAGGGUGCGUAGGCUGCCCGGUAAGUCAGUUGUGAAAUUCCCCCGCUCAACGGGAGGGACUGCGAUUGAUACUGCUGGGCUUGAAUGGGGUUGAGGCAGGCGGAAUGUGGCAUGUAGCGGUGAAAUGCAUAGAUAUGCCAUAGAACACCGAUUGCGAAGGCAGCCUGCUGGGCCUUUAUUGACGCUGAGGCACGAAAGCGUGGGGAGCAAACAGGAUUAGAUACCCUGGUAGUCCACGCCCUAAACGAUGUUUACUUGCUGUUCGGCCUACAUGGCGGAGUGGCGAAGCGAAAGCGAUAAGUAAACCACCUGGGGAGUACGCCGGCAACGGUGAA